RNAcentral lists this ribosomal RNA (236 nucleotides) under uncultured Staphylococcus sp. RNAcentral describes it as "partial 16S ribosomal RNA". It matches the Rfam family "Bacterial small subunit ribosomal RNA", at positions 104 to 334 of the family's 1533-position model. The record is from RNAcentral. Lineage: Bacteria; Bacillati; Bacillota; Bacilli; Caryophanales; Staphylococcaceae.
GGGUGAGUAUCACGUGGAUAACCCACCUAUAAGACUGGGAUAACUUCGGGAAACCGGAGCUAAUACCGGAUAAUAUAUUGAACCGCAUGGUUCAAUAGUGAAAGACGGUUUUGCUGUCACUUAUAGAUGGAUCCGCGCCGCAUUAGCUAGUUGGUAAGGUAACGGCUUACCAAGGCAACGAUGCGUAGCCGACCUGAGAGGGUGAUCGGCCACACUGGGACUGAGACACGGUCCAG